Triticum aestivum (bread wheat) is the source of this 632-nucleotide long non-coding RNA. RefSeq lists it as uncharacterized. The transcript has 3 exons. The record is from RefSeq and is a predicted model, not a curated record. NCBI's taxonomy places the organism in Eukaryota, Viridiplantae, Streptophyta, Magnoliopsida, Poales, Poaceae.
AAAAAAAAAGGUUCGGCGUGCUCGCGGAGCUCUGUUUGCGCUCUCCGCGUAGUCCCCAACCCCACCAUGGCCAGCUAAAAAAACAAAAAAACAAAAAAACCAACAACCACGGCGAUCGGCGAAACUUAAGGGCGAGCAGCGGCGAUGGCAGCCCCGUCGCCCCAUACGAUGAAUCCAGGAGAUGGCUACACGGUGGCUACCCACACCCCCUUGACAUACAGUGGUUUGUUUGUUUUGUCACAUCCAUUUGGCAAAUAACCGAUAUGGGUGAUACUUGUUAUUCUGGUUGAAAUUCCAUAAAUGCACGGGAUCAGGGGGCUCAGGGGGGUGUACAACAGUGGUAUUACUAAAUCAAAAAUCUUUUGCUUACAUCAGCAAGUGUAUAUAGUUUUCAAUAUACAUGUGGGUGAAACUCAUAAAGUUUAGGUCCAGAUUUCUUCAAUCAGUUGUGCUUCACUUAUGUUUAGGGAAAAUUCAAUAUUCUAUUAUUCUACAAAAUAAAAUUUCAACAGUGGUAUUGCAGUUUCACCUAGCGAUUGUGUGUAGUUUUAUUUUCUAAUUGGGUGGAAAUUUCGUUUUCUCCCUAUUGUAUAAAAUCAACUUGCGAGUAAUUGCUUUUUUUAUUUGAAUCA